AUGAGAUUGGUGGGGCUGGCGGCCAUCGAGAGAGCCAGGAAAAGGCAAGCCUCGCGGGUGCUCUGGCUGCGAGUGGGUGAUGCCAGCACCAAGUUUUUUCAUGCCAAGUUCAGUUCCAGGAGGCGCACAAAUUUCAUUCACUCCAUUUAGAACGAUGACGGAAUUGCAAUAACACAUGUAGACAAGGCCCAAGCCAUCCAUGAUCACUUUAGCAAAGUAAUGGCAGCUAGCAUGGGCUAGAGUGUCACGCUAAACUGGGAGGCGUUGCGGUUGCCAAGGGUUCAAGCUGCUGGGUUGGACAAUCCAUUCUCUGAAGACGAAGUCUGGGCAGCAAUUUUGCAGUCACCGGCAGAAAAUGCGCCGGGGCCUGACGGCUUCAUUGGCACUUUCUUCAGAGCCUGCUGGCCGAUCAUCAAGGAUGACAUCAUGGCGGCAUUCCACCACUUCUACAGCCUCGCGCGCGGGGGGGGGGGGGAGUUUAGCUGCACUGAACACGGCAUUUGUGGCGCUACUUACAAAGAAAGAGGGUGCAGCGAGAAUAACUGA
RNAcentral lists this ribosomal RNA (546 nucleotides) under Triticum aestivum (bread wheat). Its description in RNAcentral is "partial small subunit ribosomal RNA". The record is from RNAcentral. Lineage: Eukaryota; Viridiplantae; Streptophyta; Magnoliopsida; Poales; Poaceae.